CUGGAUUAAAUGAGUAGAGAUAUUAAAGCUUCCUAUUAUCUAUCAGCUUUUUCAUAGCAUUUGCUCUAUUUACGGUGCAAAUUGUACCAGUAUGAACCUUGCAUAUGGUAUGUUGAAACCAAAGUGGGUUGUUUUGUGUUAACACAGGAAGUGUAUUAUAAGAUCAUGAUCUCUGAACCCAGAUUGCCUAAACUCAAGCCUCUGCUCUGCUCCUUAUUAGUUGUUUAACCCUGGGUAAAAUAUUUAAAAUCUCUGGGUGUCAGUUUCCUCAUAUGUAAAAUGAUAACAGUACCUACUCCACAGGGUUUAGUGAGAAUUAAAUGAGUUAAUAUACAUAAAGCACUGAGCAUAGUGCCCAGACCUAGCAAUGUCCAAUGUCAGUUAUUACUAGCAGUCGGUGUGAUAGCUUUUCUUACUACCUUUUUUGAUCUACAUAAAAUCUCUCUCUAAUUUUGGAAGAGUUUACCUCUUUUUCAAGCCAAAGCAUUGCUGUUAUUGUUUUCAGAGCACUUAAAUCCAUCUUUCUGUGAGCAAUCAUUUAAUAUUAUUGUCCAGAAUUUUCCUUACAGUGAGGAAACUACCCUUUGGUUGCAAGUCGCUGCUGACUCUGUGCCCUCUCCUGCCCAAACAGGAAUUGAGCACACUCUGCUCUCCUCUGAAGUUCCACUGUCCACUCAGAAUCCAGACUAAAAGAGACCUCACGCUGCAGUGAGAGUGAAGCUCUCCACCAUCUUCCUCUAUGGGGAAGGGUGGUGGUGAGUCAGGGAAUGUCAAAGGCACAUCAGCACCUCACUCCGAAAUGAUCCCCACCAAAAUCACUGGCCUUUUUAGCUCUCUCAUGAAGGUUGGAGGUCAUAACACCCUCUUUCCAUAGAGGGUCCUGCCACACACCAAGGAGGAACGAAUGCUGCGCAGUGAGGCCAAGAGGAGUCUAGACAGACAGGCCUUGCUGGGUUUCCCAACUCUAUUGGCAGUAGAUCAUUCUCUUUUUGCCCAAUCGUAUUUGUACAUGGCUGUCCAUAUUUUGUCGACCCUAAGCAUUAAAAUGUACAAUUCCUCUGUAUCUUUGGAUCUUCAUUCUGAAGGCUCCUGUGUUAUGUAAAACUAUGAUCAAUUAAAUUUGUAUGCCUUUUCUGUUAUUAAUUUGACUCUUGUCAGUGACUUUUAACACAUCUUCAGAAGUUGAAGGUAAAGCUUUCC
This 1200-nucleotide long non-coding RNA is filed under the name Homo sapiens (human). Its description in RNAcentral is "HSALNT0079749". Lineage: Eukaryota; Metazoa; Chordata; Mammalia; Primates; Hominidae. The record is from RNAcentral.